UCGAACGAGAAAGUGGAGCAAUCCAUGAGUACAGUGGCGACCGGGUGAGUAACACGUGACCAACCUGCCCUCGAGUGGGGAACAACAGCGGGAAACCGCUGCUAAUACCGCAUAACAUCCUUGAGUCGGAAGACUUGGGGAUCAAAGGAGCAAUCCGCUUGAGGAGGGGGUCGCGGCUGAUUAGCUAGUUGGCGGGGUAAUGGCCCACCAAGGCAAAGAUCGGUAUCCGGCCUGAGAGGGCGCACGGACACACUGGAACUGAAACACGGUCCAGACUCCUACGGGAGGCAGCAGUGGGGAAUUUUGCGCAAUGGGGGAAACCCUGACGCAGCAACGCCGCGUGGAGGAUGAAGUCCCUUGGGACGUAAACUCCUUUCGACCGGGACGAUAAUGACGGUAUCCGGUGGAAGAAGCACCGGCUAACUCUGUG
Molecule: ribosomal RNA, 430 nt
Filed under: uncultured bacterium
Lineage: Bacteria
Description: bacterial SSU rRNA
Rfam family: Bacterial small subunit ribosomal RNA
Source: RNAcentral